RNAcentral lists this long non-coding RNA (608 nucleotides) under Homo sapiens (human). Its description in RNAcentral is "HSALNT0293332". Lineage: Eukaryota; Metazoa; Chordata; Mammalia; Primates; Hominidae. The record is from RNAcentral.
CUCUUCCUGUGUGGAACUUGGAUUCAAGCUGAGGGUGGGAAGCACUCAAGCUUGAUACUCUAGCCUUGCAGAGAUUCCCUGCUUAGCCCUUUUUUUCUUUUUCACCCAAAAAAAUCCUGCUUUACUCACGCUCUGCAACGUCUGUGAGCCUAAAUUUUCGUGGCCGUGGGAUGGACAGGAACCCUGCCUGCUUUAGCUGAACUAAGGAAAAGCCGUGCAACACAUCCAGUAGGAUCUACCUUCUAUGAAGAGAUGGGGUUCCACCAUGUAGCCCCGGCUGGUCUUGAGCUCAUGAGCUCAAGCGAUUCACCUGCCUCAGCCUCCCAAAGUGCUGGGAUUACAAGUGUGAGCCACCAUUCCUGCCUCUAUACCUCUAAAGGUGUUGAAUAAUUUGAAUGGGAAUUUGAAGGUCCAUGGCUUCCAAACCAGCAGGAGUUAAGGCUUAAUUGCUUGGAAAUACAUUUUCAUGGCUGAUACCAGUAACAGAAAAAUGUCUGUAUGUCAAGAGGCUCUGUACUAAUCAGUUAACCAUAACAUGUGCCACCCCAUACCUUGGGCCAAUGUAACUGUUAACAGCUUGAAGCUAUUAAAAAUGUACCAAUGGAGAA